CGUCCUAUUAGCUAGUUGGUGAGGUAAUGGCUCACCAAGGCUACGAUGGGUAGGGGUUACUUAGUGGAAGGUCCCCCACACUGGCACUGAGAUACGGGCCAGACUCCUACGGGAGGCAGCAGUAGGGAAUAUUGGUCAAUGGGCGCAAGCCUGAACCAGCCAUGCCGCGUGCAGGAUGAAGGCUCUCUGAGUUGUAAACUGCUUUUGUACAGGAGCAAAAAAAUCCCUGCGGGGGUUCUUGAGAGUACUGUAAGAAUAAGCACCGGCUAAUUCCGUGCCAGCAGCCGCGGUAAUACGGGAGGUGCAAGCGUUAUCCGGUUUUAUUGGGUUUAAAGGGUGCGUAGGCGGCUUAUUAAGUCAGUUGUGAAAUCCUAGUGCUUAACGCUAGAACUGCGAUUGAUACUAUU
RNAcentral lists this ribosomal RNA (407 nucleotides) under Candidatus Cardinium sp. RNAcentral describes it as "bacterial SSU rRNA". It matches the Rfam family "Bacterial small subunit ribosomal RNA", at positions 234 to 637 of the family's 1533-position model. The record is from RNAcentral. Lineage: Bacteria; Pseudomonadati; Bacteroidota; Cytophagia; Cytophagales; Amoebophilaceae.